AGGGUUUCCAAUAAUCUUGUGUGGAGACUUCCAGAAGUGUUUCAUGUUGUGAGUCCACAGUAGUACUUGCAGGAUGCUGCACAUCAUCUUCUCUGGGGAAAUCAGCAGCUGUUGCCAAGAUAUCAGUUGAUGUAGGGGAAAUUUCAUCAUCAUAGUGUUUCACAGGAAAGUCUUUUUCACCUCCUCCAGAAGAAUGAUCUGGCAUAUGUGAGUACGGAGUAACACUUCCAUAAUAUGAAGGACUUGAUCUCCUGAUAGAGGCAUCCCCUGGAGUUGUGUCAUGUAUCGAUCCACUACCUAAAUUUUCAUCAUCCACACCUGAGGUUGAGGAGUCUCCACUAUGACGUGUGCCAUCUGCAUUGUAACGUGAGCCGUCCUCAUUGUCAAUAACUAUUUCACUCUGAUUACUGAGGAAAGUAAUAUCUAUUCUUUCAAUUGGCUCACAUGCUUUGCUCCUCGUUUCUGUUGCAUUGUAACAAUAUGCAUCAUACCG
RNAcentral lists this long non-coding RNA (493 nucleotides) under Gallus gallus (chicken). The record is from RNAcentral. Lineage: Eukaryota; Metazoa; Chordata; Aves; Galliformes; Phasianidae.